RNAcentral lists this long non-coding RNA (1289 nucleotides) under Scleropages formosus (Asian bonytongue). RNAcentral describes it as "lncRNA (ENSSFOG00015030610.1)". The record is from RNAcentral. Lineage: Eukaryota; Metazoa; Chordata; Actinopteri; Osteoglossiformes; Osteoglossidae.
CGAAUCGAUGGGAAGGACGAGGCGACGACCGGAUAACGAGACUGACCGCGUAAUGGGCGCGCUGCUUAAGGAGGUCAGGAAGGUGGAUACGGAGCUCAUGCUGCUGAGAUGUUGAGAUCUUCAGCUCCAUCUUCUGCUCCAUCUGCAGCACCCGAGAUCAAGUGCUCAUCAGCAUACACACUGUCUGAAACCACUUGUCCCGAGUGGAGUCAUGGUGAACCGGAGCCUCACCUGGGAGCACGGGGGACACACCCAGGACAGGAUGCCAGUCUGCUGCAGGGGACCCCAAGCAGGACUCAAACCCCAGCCCCACCACAGAGCAGGACCUGGCCAAGCCUCAUCAACAUAGAACAGCCAUAUUUAUAUCUAUUUUUUUACUCCACUCUUCUCCCCAUACAAGAAUUACAAGUGUAGUUGUGCUGGAAGUUAUUUACACAUCCAUUACAUUUAUCUGACACUUUUCUCCAAAGCAACUUACAAUUAUUUUCCCAUUUAUAUAGCUGGGUAAUUUUACUAGAGCAAUUCAGGGUAAGUACCUUGCUCAAGGAUACUACAGCUGGAGGCAAGGCUUGAACCUGCAACCUUUGGGUCCAAAGGCAGUUGCUCUAACCACUAUGCUACCAGCUGCCCAAAAAUAAGUAACUGAAUUAAUUAUGGUACUAUUCCCAAUGGGGGUAAAACCUCUCAACAAGGUGUUUCUAUUGACAUGUACAGCUUCCUUUCAGGGGGCACUAGGAUUUAAACCUAGGAUCUCUUAAGCUGGAGUCAAAUGCUCUGCUACUGAGCAAUACCCCUGGACUAAACCCCCCUACACACUGUCCAUAUGGGAUGCUGCGGUAAACACGCACUUUUACACCACUGGGGAGAGUUCUGUAUCCAGGCUGCAGGGCCGAAGGCGACGGCGCAGCGACGCAGAUCGGCUCAGCUUUACGCACGGAAGCGUCCCUCCCAGACCCUGUCCCCGUCCCGCGUGUCCAUCGGUGUCCUUCGGGAGCGCAGCGGGCGUCGACCCCGUUGAAGGCGGCGCGCGGAGGUGAGUGCAGCCAUAGAUGCCCAGGGGGAGAGCUCAUUGCGCUAAUGGGAGGAUGCAUUUCGCCAACAUACAGGAAAUUUCAUUUACAGAGCACAUAGAUACAGAAUUAUAAAUAUCAUAAAUAUUGAUUUUUUUUUCACCGAGACCUGCUGCGAAUGAACGGUCCUGGAAAGGGAUUAUGCAGACGACGAUGGUGCUGCUUGAAUUCCUUUGAGUUCUUCGAUCAUCUCCGGCUCUUAAGCGUCUCUGACGAAGC